Molecule: transfer RNA, 86 nt
Filed under: Branchiostoma floridae (Florida lancelet)
Lineage: Eukaryota; Metazoa; Chordata; Leptocardii; Amphioxiformes; Branchiostomatidae
Description: tRNA-Ser (CGA) (tRNA-Ser-CGA-2-1)
Rfam family: tRNA (bases 8-74)
About the family: Transfer RNA (tRNA) molecules are approximately 80 nucleotides in length. Their secondary structure includes four short double-helical elements and three loops (D, anti-codon, and T loops).
Source: RNAcentral
CCUCGCCUGGCCGAGUGGUUAAGGCGUUGGACUCGAAAUCCAAUGGGCUCUGCCCGCACAGGUUCGAAUCCUGUCCGUGACGAGGU